This 497-nucleotide ribosomal RNA is filed under the name uncultured bacterium. RNAcentral's name for it is "partial 16S ribosomal RNA". It matches the Rfam family "Bacterial small subunit ribosomal RNA", at positions 28 to 507 of the family's 1533-position model. The record is from RNAcentral.
GAUGAACGCUGGCGGCGUGCCUAAUACAUGCAAGUCGAGCGAACAGACGAGGAGCUUGCUCCUCUGACGUUAGCGGCGGACGGGUGAGUAACACGUGGAUAACCUACCUAUAAGACUGGGAUAACUUCGGGAAACCGGAGCUAAUACCGGAUAAUAUAUUGAACCGCAUGGUUCAAUAGUGAAAGACGGUUUUGCUGUCACUUAUAGAUGGAUCCGCGCCGCAUUAGCUAGUUGGUAAGGUAACGGCUUACCAAGGCAACGAUGCGUAGCCGACCUGAGAGGGUGAUCGGCCGCACUGGAACUGAGACACGGUCCAGACUCCUACGGGAGGCAGCAGUAGGGAAUCUUCCGCAAUGGGCGAAAGCCUGACGGAGCAACGCCGCGUGAGUGAUGAAGGUCUUCGGAUCGUAAAACCCUGUUAUUAGGGAAGAACAAAUGUGUAAGUAACCAUGCACGUCUUGACGGUACCUAAUCAGAAAGCCACGGCUAACUACGUG